GACAGAGGAUGCAAGCGUUAUCCGGAAUGAUUGGGCGUAAAGCGUCUGUAGGUGGCUUUUUAAGUCCGCCGUCAAAUCCCAGGGCUCAACCCUGGACAGGCGGUGGAAACUACCAAGCUGGAGUACGGUAGGGGCAGAGGGAAUUCCUGGUGUAGCGGUGAAAUGCGCAGAUAUCAGGAGGAACACCGAUGGCGAAGGCAGGUCUCUGGGCCAUUACUGACACUGAGAAGCGAAAGCAUGGGGAGCGAACAGG
Molecule: ribosomal RNA, 253 nt
Filed under: uncultured bacterium
Lineage: Bacteria
Description: partial 16S ribosomal RNA
Rfam family: Bacterial small subunit ribosomal RNA
Source: RNAcentral